ACUUUAAAGGGGAGGUUUUUCUUUCUUUUUUUUAAGCAGUAUUUUAUUUCCUUGCAGAUUUUUUUCUCUAGAAUUUGAGGAGAAAUGUCAGAAAUCACAUUGGUAGAAGGACAGGGGAGAAUUUAGCCAUAGUAGAUAAUUUGUUUUUGUAAUGAACUAAGUAUGUGCAUUGCUGUGUUGUCUUUUAUUUUCUUUCUUUUUCCUCCCCCUUUUGGUCUGUGCUUUCCAUGAGAUGUCUUGAUGAAAUCCAAGGUACAAUAUCUUGCAGAGAUUUCUCCGUCUGAGAAUUUCUGUUUAGCGUGGAAGGUUCCGAUUUUGGUAUUUUUAAGAACUGCUCAGCUGUCAAAAGCAAACAAAACGGGAAUAAUGUUUUGACAGCGGUAUAGUGUUAAAGAAAAUACUCGAGUCUGAAUAAAAAUUGCUUAUGCUGUGGGAAACGAAGGGUAACAGAAGAAACACCUUUUGUUUACAUACACACAUGUUUAUAAUCCCAAAUUUCCAUUUCGCCGAGCGGGUCUGCGUUGGGAGUUGUAGUCACCAUAAAUGAGGGAUUUUUCUUCCAGAUUUUGCUGCCUUUAAGGCGAAGAGAGGAGGGGAGCGCACCUCCGGCAGCGCUGCCGCCCGAGCCCUGCCCGUCGCGGCGAGCGGGCACCGCAGGGCCGAAGAGGAGAUGCCGGGGGGAGCCGGGCGCUCCCCACCUUUCACUCAUAGCCGCAGACAGAGCGAGGGAGAGACAAUUGCCCCAGACCAGGUUUUGCUCAUCGCUCCAGCGGCUCUCCAGGCUUCCCGAAGGGACUGAGAGUCUGCCGGCGGCGCCUUUGCGGGGGUCGAUGCGGAGCCACUAGCCCCACUAUACUCCUGAUGCG
Molecule: long non-coding RNA, 866 nt
Filed under: Ficedula albicollis (Collared flycatcher)
Lineage: Eukaryota; Metazoa; Chordata; Aves; Passeriformes; Muscicapidae
Description: lncRNA (ENSFALG00000017412.2)
Source: RNAcentral